Molecule: long non-coding RNA, 590 nt
Organism: Esox lucius (northern pike)
Lineage: Eukaryota; Metazoa; Chordata; Actinopteri; Esociformes; Esocidae
Source: Ensembl
GUUGGCAGAUUAUGCUGCCGUAGAUGUCUGUGAAACCUGCUCAUUGACACGUUAUGGGGAAGAGGAAUGUACAUUUUCUGGAGCAGCAGCUGUACGUGGAGCGAUCCGGUAAAAGUUUCCAGUUUGUUAUCUGGUGUAUCACAAAGGACCUCAAUCUAAACAAGUCCCAUCUGAAUGUUCAUCUUGCACACAUGCCUGCUUCCCCUCCCCCACACCCGCCUGACCUUUAACCCUGAUGACAACAUGCUGUCAUCACCAUCACUCCCGCCCUGGAUAAAUACUAGGUUCAUGGUAUGCUCCACCACAAGAAAAGAACGCUGGGCACAUGAAGGGGACAACACAAAAGAGACUUGUCUUCUCCAAGACAUCUUCAUGAGCUAACCACAGACAAAAAAAGCAAACACGUCGAGCCUCUCAGCACCAGCUAAGGGACAUACAGUCCACCAAGCCACGGAGGUGCUUUCCUCAAUGUGUUCUGAACACUUACAUCUCCAGUAGUGGCUUCAUAAGAGGCUGUUAGCAUGAACAAUAUGUACAUUCAAAAGGCUUCCACACGCGCGCGCACACACACACACACACACACAGACACA